This 245-nucleotide ribosomal RNA is filed under the name uncultured Eubacteriales bacterium. RNAcentral describes it as "uncultured Clostridiales bacterium partial 16S ribosomal RNA". It matches the Rfam family "Bacterial small subunit ribosomal RNA", at positions 524 to 769 of the family's 1533-position model. Lineage: Bacteria; Bacillati; Bacillota; Clostridia; Eubacteriales. The record is from RNAcentral.
UACGUAGGGGGCGAGCGUUAUCCGGAAUUAUUGGGCGUAAAGAGUACGUAGGUGGUCUGUUAAGCGCAAGGUGAAAGACCGAGGCUUAACUUCGGUGAGCCUUGUGAACUGGCAGACUUGAGUGCAGGAGGGGAAAGUGGAAUUCCUGGUGUAGCGGUGAAAUGCGCAGAUAUCAGGAGGAACACCGGUGGCGAAGGCGACUUUCUGGACUGUAACUGACACUGAGGUACGAAAGCGUGGGUAGC